RNAcentral lists this ribosomal RNA (494 nucleotides) under uncultured bacterium. Its description in RNAcentral is "partial 16S ribosomal RNA". It matches the Rfam family "Bacterial small subunit ribosomal RNA", at positions 28 to 504 of the family's 1533-position model. The record is from RNAcentral.
GAUGAACGCUGGCGGCGUGCCUAAUACAUGCAAGUCGAGCGAACAGACGAGGAGCUUGCUCCUCUGACGUUAGCGGCGGACGGGUGAGUAACACGUGGAUAACCUACCUAUAAGACUGGGAUAACUUCGGGAAACCGGAGCUAAUACCGGAUAAUAUAUUGAACCGCAUGGUUCAAUAGUGAAAGACGGUUUUGCUGUCACUUAUAGAUGGAUCCGCGCCGCAUUAGCUAGUUGGUAAGGUAACGGCUUACCAAGGCAACGAUGCGUAGCCGACCUGAGAGGGUGAUCGGCCACACUGGAACUGAGACACGGUCCAGACUCCUACGGGAGGCAGCAGUAGGGAAUCUUCCGCAAUGGGCGAAAGCCUGACGGAGCAACGCCGCGUGAGUGAUGAAGGUCUUCGGAUCGUAAAACUCUGUUAUUAGGGAAGAACAAAUGUGUAAGUAACUAUGCACGUCUUGACGGUACCUAAUCAGAAAGCCACGGCUAACUAC